RNAcentral lists this ribosomal RNA (253 nucleotides) under uncultured prokaryote. Its description in RNAcentral is "partial 16S ribosomal RNA". It matches the Rfam family "Bacterial small subunit ribosomal RNA", at positions 524 to 776 of the family's 1533-position model. The record is from RNAcentral.
UACGUAGGCAGCAAGCGUUGUUCGGAGUUACUGGGCGUAAAGAGUGUGUAGGCGGUGCUCUAAGUUCGGUGUGAAAUCUCCCGGCUUAACUGGGAGGGUGCGCCGGAAGCUGGAGUGCUCGAGCGCGGGAGAGGAAAGCGGAAUUCCUGGUGUAGCGGUGAAAUGCGUAGAUAUCAGGAGGAACACCUGUGGUGUAGACGGCUUUCUGGACCGUAGCUGACGCUGCGACACGAAAGCGUGGGUAGCAAACAGG